RNAcentral lists this long non-coding RNA (2574 nucleotides) under Fragaria vesca (wild strawberry). Its description in RNAcentral is "long non-coding RNA (FVES_LNC005498)". The record is from RNAcentral. Lineage: Eukaryota; Viridiplantae; Streptophyta; Magnoliopsida; Rosales; Rosaceae.
UUUUCCGUAAGUUAUCUUUGAAAACUUCCUUCAUGAAAGUUGUAGAGUUUGUCGAUACGAGUUCGUAGACAUGCGGCACACGUAAAUCAGAUGUUGUAUGAGAAAGUUAUUGUCAGAGGAAGUUAGUUUUCGGUUUUGGAAAGAGUAUAAGUAGAAAAAUGUGUGGGAGAUAUUUUUGGAAAACCUAUAACUGCAGCAGCCCAGCUCUCAGUCUCUCUCUUCUCUCUCCCGACCCUCCCACACCCUAUUUCUUCUCCGGUCAUUUUCUUCCUCAUCCGGCCACCUUUUUGGACGUCGCCGGUUCAGUUGGAUCCGUACCAACGUCCUCUCCAUUUCUGGAGCAGUCCCACUCGCUGUCUCGCCACCUGGAAGCCGCCAUGAAGAGGCGGAGUAGCUGUUGUUCCGCCGGAAAGUCGGCGUUUUCGACGGCGAUCCCGGCCAAGGUUAGGUGAGUCUUGCUCUCAUCUCUCUUCUAGAGAUGUUUAUACCUCUUUGGUGACCUAAAGAGCUAGUUUGGGCACCGGAUUUGCAGGUUUGGGUUUUGAUUUUGGGUUGCUAUUUCGGCGGGGCAGUUUCCGGCUAGUUCCGGCCAAAAUUGGUUGAAGCCUCAGGUAUGAAAGGUAUUCCCCUUGCUUCAAGCUUCAACUUUGAUGUUUUAAGUUUUCUCAAAUUCAGAAGUUGGUAGUGGAGCGUGGGGCCCACUAACCGCCGCGCGUGGCAGCGCAUCCGGCAGUGUUUGUGGCUUAGUUUGCUGUGUUUUAGCUAGCUCUUGUUGUGGUGAGCUUGUUGAGAUGUAGAAUUUCUAGGUUGUGAGCAAUGUUUGUAUGUUAGGACUUUAAGUUGUUAUUAGGCUUGGUUGAGGUUUGAGGAUUAGAGGCAGCCAUUUUGGGUCGCUAACUUCGACGACUUUGGAAAGUUGUCCUCCCUUGAACUAAGGGUUAGUUUAAGGGUAUUGUGUUAACCUAUAGUAUUUUAGUUACUAAGGUUUUAAUUGUGUGAUUUUAGGUGAUUUGUGAAGUUGUGUUUUGGCUUGCUUUUGUCAUCUGAUUGUGGAAUUUGCAGCGGGAUAUUUAGGUGAGUAAAUCUCACUAAGGUUCACUUUUGAACCAAAUGUUAUUAUGGUCAUGUGAUGAUGAUAAUGAUGAUAAUGUUGGAUUUAAUAAUAUGCUUUUAAUGGUUUUUAAAAAUAUAUGAGCUUGAUCGCCAAUGGCUCAUUGGUAAGAUAAAACAAGUUUUCCUUAUAUGCUAUUUUUGAGAUUCAUAUGAUCAUAAUUUUAUUGAUUAUUAAUAGAUUAUUCUUGUGGAAAAUCUAUAUUUUGUUCAAGUAAAUAUAUCUAUGUGGAAGGAUAUAAUUUAUGAUGUGAUAUUGUGUUGUUGUGGAUAAUGUUGUGAUAUUGUGAUUGUUGGAUAAAUAGCCAAACCGGGUUCCAAGCCUUUAAUUGGGUGAUUGGUUGCGGUUAAUAUGCUAUUUAUCAUUUUUGUGUUUGAUAUUAGACAGUCAAACCGGGUUCCAAGCCUUUGGUCGGGCAAUUGGUUGCGGUUAGGAAUAGAGCUCUAGACCGUCUGUCAGUGUAGGUCAUGGGAGAUACCGUAUAGUAUCUGGGACCCAAGGGUACACAUUUUGUUGUUGUAGGUCAUGAGGGGUAUUUAUUAAUACAUGGGACUCAUAGGUACAUGUUAAUUGAAAAAAUGUUGGAUUUGUGAAUUUAUUUAUUGAUAUAAAUUGCUCUUGUGAUAUAAUUGGUAAUUGGAGGUUUUUGUGUUAUUUUGAGAAUUACUCAUACGGGCUUUUUAGCUUACCGGGUUUGUUGUUUACAACCCGGUACACCAAUUCUUGGUGUAGGGGUUAGACCUGCAGGUGAGGAUCAACAUGGUUGAGACGGAGGCUUAGUGGCAGAGUUUUUAUUGGGUUUUGCUGUACAUUAUAUAUUUUUAUAUUUGGGGUAGACUUUAUUAAAACUCAUGUGAGUGGUUUCAUUUUCUUGAUUUUCAAGUUUAUGUAAAAAAGAAAUGUAAUAUUUAACUCGAUGUUGAGUUGUGUUGUGUGACAUUUACAUUUCCGCAUUGAGUUUUAGUUUCUUUGAAGUUUGUUUGAAAACAGGUUUUGGGAUAGUUAUUUUAAGAUAUAUCAUGCCAAAAUUUUUGAAAAAUUAUCUUUCGAAAAAUUGGGGCGUGACAAUAUCCAUGGGUUUUUUCAUGGAUUCCAAGAACGUGUGCGAUUAUACUAUCUCGUAUGAUUUUGUAUGCCUUUUUAAAUGGCCUAGAAAAUUGAAAAAAAUAAGUUAAGAGACCAAUGUAGUUGGUGUUCCCAAGAAAAACAAAAAUUUGGGUUUUACAUAGAUUCCGAGAACGUCAAUUCUUGCAUGAUUUUGUACGAUCUUAUUAAAUGUCAAAGAAAACACAAACAAAUUUUCAUGAAAGUUGAAGAACUAAUUUAAGAGAUCAAUGUCGUUGGUUUAUGGAGGUCUGAAGAAGAACAAAAUUUGGGUUCUCACAGAUUCCGAGAACAUCGAUUCGUGUGCCAUCUUAUGAGAUCUUGUUAAAUAACUAAGAAACGGCAAAGAAAUAUUCAAG